Molecule: ribosomal RNA, 47 nt
Filed under: Abies lasiocarpa (subalpine fir)
Lineage: Eukaryota; Viridiplantae; Streptophyta; Pinopsida; Pinales; Pinaceae
Also listed under: 13 other names
Source: RNAcentral
UGUAGGGGAAGCCCUGCGGGAAAAUAGCUCGGUGCCAGGAUGAUAAA